Molecule: non-coding RNA, 138 nt
Organism: Ornithorhynchus anatinus (platypus)
Lineage: Eukaryota; Metazoa; Chordata; Mammalia; Monotremata; Ornithorhynchidae
Source: Rfam
CCCCUCUCAGGGUCACACCUGGAGAGUUUCCAGUACCCUACCGGUCUCGGCUGUGGGAGGAAGAGUCAAGCAGAGGCAUAUCCAUUCCAUUCUUAGCUUGGGCGGUGGCUAGCGAGGGGAAGGCAAUCUGCUACAAGU